RNAcentral lists this ribosomal RNA (467 nucleotides) under uncultured bacterium. RNAcentral describes it as "partial 16S ribosomal RNA". It matches the Rfam family "Bacterial small subunit ribosomal RNA", at positions 28 to 506 of the family's 1533-position model. The record is from RNAcentral.
GACGAACGCUGGCGGCGUGCUUAACACAUGCAAGUCGAACGGAAAGGCCCUGCUUUUGUGGGGUGCUCGAGUGGCGAACGGGUGAGUAACACGUGAGUAACCUGCCCUUGACUUUGGGAUAACUUCAGGAAACUGGGGCUAAUACCGGAUAGGAGCUCCUGCUGCAUGGUGGGGGUUGGAAAGUUUCGGCGGUUGGGGAUGGACUCGCGGCUUAUCAGCUUGUUGGUGGGGUAGUGGCUUACCAAGGCUUUGACGGGUAGCCGGCCUGAGAGGGUGACCGGCCACAUUGGGACUGAGAUACGGCCCAGACUCCUACGGGAGGCAGCAGUGGGGAAUAUGGCACAAUGGGCGGAAGCCUGAUGCAGCAACGCCGCGUGCGGGAGGACGGCCUUCGGGUUGUAAACCGCUUUCGCCUGUGACGAAGCGUGAGUGACGGGAAUGGGUAAAGAAGCACCGGCUAACUACGU